This 468-nucleotide ribosomal RNA is filed under the name uncultured bacterium. Its description in RNAcentral is "partial 16S ribosomal RNA". It matches the Rfam family "Bacterial small subunit ribosomal RNA", at positions 28 to 507 of the family's 1533-position model. The record is from RNAcentral.
GACGAACGCUGGCGGCGUGCUUAACACAUGCAAGUCGAACGGAAAGGCCCUGCUUUUGUGGGGUGCUCGAGUGGCGAACGGGUGAGUAACACGUGAGUAACCUGCCCUUGACUUUGGGAUAACUUCAGGAAACUGGGGCUAAUACCGGAUAGGAGCUCCUGCUGCAUGGUGGGGGUUGGAAAGUUUCGGCGGUUGGGGAUGGACUCGCGGCUUAUCAGCUUGUUGGUGGGGUAGUGGCUUACCAAGGCUUUGACGGGUAGCCGGCCUGAGAGGGUGACCGGCCACAUUGGGACUGAGAUACGGCCCAGACUCCUACGGGAGGCAGCAGUGGGGAAUAUUGCACAAUGGGCGGAAGCCUGGUGCAGCAACGCCGCGUGCGGGAUGACGGCCUUCGGGUUGUAAACCGCUUUCGCCUGUGACGAAGCGUGAGUGACGGUAAUGGGUACAGAAGCACCGGCUAACUACGUG